RNAcentral lists this ribosomal RNA (1267 nucleotides) under Bacillus timonensis. Its description in RNAcentral is "bacterial SSU rRNA". It matches the Rfam family "Bacterial small subunit ribosomal RNA", at positions 59 to 1287 of the family's 1533-position model. Lineage: Bacteria; Bacillati; Bacillota; Bacilli; Caryophanales; Bacillaceae. The record is from RNAcentral.
CUGCUUAUCUUAUUUGUUGACAGACUUUCCCCCAAAUUGCUCCCAAAAGUUAGCGGCGGACGGGUGAGUAACACGUGGGCAACCUGCCUAUAAGACUGGGAUAACUUCGGGAAACCGGAGCUAAUACCGGAUAACAUAUGAGACCACAUGGUCUCAUAUUAAAAGAUGGCUUUUAGCUAUCACUUAUAGAUGGGCCCGCGGCGCAUUAGCUAGUUGGUGAGGUAAUGGCUCACCAAGGCGACGAUGCGUAGCCGACCUGAGAGGGUGAUCGGCCACACUGGGACUGAGACACGGCCCAGACUCCUACGGGAGGCAGCAGUAGGGAAUCUUCCGCAAUGGACGAAAGUCUGACGGAGCAACGCCGCGUGAGCGAAGAAGGUCUUCGGAUCGUAAAGCUCUGUUGUUAGGGAAGAACAAGUACCGUUCAAAUAGGGCGGUACCUUGACGGUACCUAACCAGAAAGCCACGGCUAACUACGUGCCAGCAGCCGCGGUAAUACGUAGGUGGCAAGCGUUAUCCGGAAUUAUUGGGCGUAAAGCGCGCGCAGGCGGUCCUUUAAGUCUGAUGUGAAAGCCCACGGCUCAACCGUGGAGGGUCAUUGGAAACUGGGGGACUUGAGUGCAGAAGAGGAGAGCGGAAUUCCACGUGUAGCGGUGAAAUGCGUAGAGAUGUGGAGGAACACCAGUGGCGAAGGCGGCUCUCUGGUCUGUAACUGACGCUGAGGCGCGAAAGCGUGGGGAGCGAACAGGAUUAGAUACCCUGGUAGUCCACGCCGUAAACGAUGAGUGCUAAGUGUUAGAGGGUUUCCGCCCUUUAGUGCUGCAGCAAACGCAUUAAGCACUCCGCCUGGGGAGUACGGUCGCAAGACUGAAACUCAAAGGAAUUGACGGGGGCCCGCACAAGCGGUGGAGCAUGUGGUUUAAUUCGAAGCAACGCGAAGAACCUUACCAGGUCUUGACAUCCCGAGACAACUCUAGAGAUAGAGCUUUCCCCUUCGGGGGACACGGUGACAGGUGGGGGCAUGGUUGUCGUCAGCUCGUGCCGGGAAGAUGUUUGGGUUAAGUCCCGCAACGAGCGCAACCCUUGAUCUUAGUUGCAGGAAUUAAGUUGGGCACUCUAAGGUGACUGCCGUGCAAACCCGGGGGGAGAGGGGGGGGAUGACGGCAAAUCAUCAUGCCCCUUAUGACCUGGGUUACCACGGGCUUAAAUGGGGUGGGACAAAGGGCAGGAAAACCCGGGAGGUUAAGCCAAUCCCUAAAACCUUUUU